UCGCUACUACCGAUUGAAUGCUUUAAUGAGUGUGAUGGACGGCGGACUUGCAUUGGGUUUCCAGUGCUUGUCUACUGAAAAUCAAGCAAAUUUGAGCAUUUAGAGGAAGUAA
Molecule: ribosomal RNA, 112 nt
Filed under: uncultured eukaryote
Lineage: Eukaryota
Description: partial small subunit ribosomal RNA
Rfam family: Eukaryotic small subunit ribosomal RNA
Source: RNAcentral